GAUGAAGAACGUAGCGAAAUGCGAUAAGUAAUGUGAAUUGCAGAAUUCAGUGAAUCAUCGAAUCUUUGAACGCACAUUGCGCCCUCUGGUAUUCCGGAGGGCAUGCCUGUUCGAGCGUCAUUUCAAACCUCAAGCCUCGGCUUGGUCUUGGGCACCGUCCGCCAGGACGCGCCAGAAACACGUAGGCAGUGGUGCCCGUCUCCCAGCGUAGUCAGUCUACCCGCUCCGGAGCUCGUGGUGCCGCCCGCCGUACAACCACACUACUUCUAUGGUUUGACCUCGGAUCAGGUAGGGAUACCCGCUGAACUUAAGCAUAUCAAUAAGCGGAGGGA
Molecule: unclassified non-coding RNA, 332 nt
Filed under: soil metagenome
Description: partial contains 5.8S ribosomal RNA, internal transcribed spacer 2, and large subunit ribosomal RNA
Rfam family: 5.8S ribosomal RNA (bases 1-120)
Source: RNAcentral